This 173-nucleotide unclassified non-coding RNA is filed under the name Bartonella elizabethae. RNAcentral describes it as "partial 16S-23S ribosomal RNA intergenic spacer". The stretch from base 1 to 73 matches the Rfam family "tRNA". The record is from RNAcentral. Lineage: Bacteria; Pseudomonadati; Pseudomonadota; Alphaproteobacteria; Hyphomicrobiales; Bartonellaceae.
GGGGCCGUAGCUCAGCUGGGAGAGCACCUGCUUUGCAAGCAGGGGGUCGUCGGUUCGAUCCCGUCCGGCUCCACCAUUUAGAUCAUCAUCAUGUUGUAAGAACACGGUUUAGUAAAAGGUUUUUUUUACCCUUUUGCUUGUUCUAUUGAAAUUGUGAAGAGAAGAUAUAUUCA